UACGGAGGAGGCAAGCGUUAUCCGGAAUUAUUGGGCGUAAAGCGUCCGUAGGUGGUUUAGUAAGUCUGCUGUUAAAGCGCGGGGCUUAACUCCGUAUCGGCAGUGGAAACUACUAGACUAGAGUGUGGUAGGGGUAGAGGGAAUUCCCAGUGUAGCGGUGAAAUGCGUAGAUAUCGGAAGGAACAUCAGUGGCGAAAGCGGCUUCCUGGACCAGUACCGACGUUCAGGCACGAAAGCGUGGGGAGCAAACAGG
RNAcentral lists this ribosomal RNA (253 nucleotides) under uncultured bacterium. RNAcentral's name for it is "partial 16S ribosomal RNA". It matches the Rfam family "Bacterial small subunit ribosomal RNA", at positions 524 to 776 of the family's 1533-position model. The record is from RNAcentral.